UGGGGAAUAUUGCACAAUGGGCGCAAGCCUGAUGCAGCGACGCCGCGUGGGGGAUGACGGCCUUCGGGUUGUAAACUCCUUUCGCUAGGGACGAAGCUUUUUGUGACGGUACCUAGAUAAGAAGCACCGGCUAACUACGUGCCAGCAGCCGCGGUAAUACGUAGGGUGCGAGCGUUGUCCGGAAUUACUGGGCGUAAAGGGCUCGUAGGUGGUUGGUCGCGUCGUCUGUGAAAUUCCGGGGCUUAACUCCGGGCGUGCAGGCGAUACGGGCAUAACUUGAGUACUGUAGGGGUAACUGGAAUUCCUGGUGUAGCAGUGAAAUGCGCAGAUAUCAGGAGGAACACCGAUGGCGAAGGCAGGUUACUGGGCAGUUACUGACGCUGAGGAGCGAAAGCAUGGGUAGCGAACAGG
Molecule: ribosomal RNA, 411 nt
Filed under: Actinomycetes bacterium
Lineage: Bacteria; Bacillati; Actinomycetota; Actinomycetes
Description: Actinobacteria bacterium partial 16S ribosomal RNA
Rfam family: Bacterial small subunit ribosomal RNA
Source: RNAcentral